UACGGGGGGAGCAAGCGUUGUUCGGAUUUACUGGGCGUAAAGGGCGCGUAGGCGGUCAGCACAAGUCAAUUGUGAAAUCUCCGAGCUUAACUCGGAAAGGUCAACUGAAACUGUGCGACUAGAGUGCGGAAGGGGCAACUGGAAUUCUUGGUGUAGCGGUGAAAUGCGUAGAUAUCAAGAGGAACACCUGCGGCGAAGGCGGGUUGCUGGGCCGACACUGACGCUGAAGCGCGAAAGCCAGGGAGCGAACGGG
Molecule: ribosomal RNA, 253 nt
Filed under: uncultured bacterium
Lineage: Bacteria
Description: partial 16S ribosomal RNA
Rfam family: Bacterial small subunit ribosomal RNA
Source: RNAcentral